RNAcentral lists this long non-coding RNA (883 nucleotides) under Capsella grandiflora. RNAcentral describes it as "long non-coding RNA (CGRA_LNC000608)". The record is from RNAcentral. Lineage: Eukaryota; Viridiplantae; Streptophyta; Magnoliopsida; Brassicales; Brassicaceae.
CUAUACACAUACAUCUAACACACCCACACACGAUAUCCCUAGACAUACAUCUAUACAUACAUCAUUCAUUUUCAUCUUUUUACCUCCUAACAUACAUCUAACACGUCGUUCAUUAUCUCAUUUAUAUCCUAACAUACAUCUAUACAUAGAGAUUAUCCUCCUACAACAAUUAAGACGGAUGAUGAAACCCAUAGAUGAGAGAAUUCACACACGAAUCAAGCUUCCCUCGUUUCAGUGCCAUCUUCAAAAUGGAUCGAAUAUUAGUUUCCGUUACAAUCCAUUAUCCUCUUCUUCUUCUUUUUUUCUCUACAAAUAAACCAAAAAUUGAAAACAUUUCAGUUCAGACAUCACCUAAUAAUAACCCCCAACAAAUUUUGUUAAAUUCUUUUUUUUAACAAAAACUAACAACCGUUUUCUACUAUCAUAACAAAUUAACGUAUAUGUUUUUUUCCCUUAGGCAGAAACAGAGAGGGAUAUUAUAUAUCAAAAUCCAGUAAAAGUACUUUUCUACUAUUUCCAAACAAAUACACAUGCAUACAACAUUUACGAAGACAAUAACAUUUCCUGUCCCUCAUUCUGAUGAACAUAUUACUAAACACCCAUAUAUAAUCGAGCAGGAUCAAAAAAACAUGGUCAUUUGAAAUGUUUCCAACACUAUAUAAUAUUAACUAAUAUGAACACUACUAACUAUUGUUUAAAAGAGAAAAUAAAAUGAUCGGACCAGAGUCUGACCUUUAAAGGGUGAUGAGUUGAUGAUGCCUCUAUGUUUGUCUCUUAGGGGAUUUGAGAAGUCUAAAAAGGUUUUGACUUGAAAACGCAAGUGGAAGAGCAGAUUAGGAAAUGGAGGAAAAAAAAAACAGAGUUUUGGUCGUUUUAAGAAAAC